Molecule: small nucleolar RNA, 152 nt
Organism: Telopea speciosissima
Lineage: Eukaryota; Viridiplantae; Streptophyta; Magnoliopsida; Proteales; Proteaceae
Product: small nucleolar RNA snoR137
Exons: 1
Source: RefSeq, a predicted model, not a curated record
GUUGCUUUUCCUUGUGGACUCUCUCUGUGAUUCAGAAUGGGGGAUGUCCAUAUUUGGAAGCACAGAUUGAUUGGAGAAGAUUUCUUGCCAGUAUCAAACAACCUUGUGUGUUCUAUCAUGAUGCACCAUGUUACCUUACUCCUUGUAUACUU